This 45-nucleotide non-coding RNA is filed under the name Trichobilharzia regenti. The record is from RNAcentral. Lineage: Eukaryota; Metazoa; Platyhelminthes; Trematoda; Strigeidida; Schistosomatidae.
AUCCAGUUGACGAGUCCCGAACGGAACGAAAUGCGCAUUUUGGAU